AGUUUUAACCUUGCGGCCGUACUCCCCAGGCGGUCGACUUAUCGCGUUAGCUGCGCCACUAAGAUCUCAAGGAUCCCAACGGCUAGUCGACAUCGUUUACGGCGUGGACUACCAGGGUAUCUAAUCCUGUUUGCUCCCCACGCUUUCGCACCUCAGUGUCAGUAUCAGUCCAGGUGGUCGCCUUCGCCACUGGUGUUCCUUCCUAUAUCUACGCAUUUCACCGCUACACAGGAAAUUCCACCACCCUCUACCGUACUCUAGCUCAGUAGUUUUGGAUGCAGUUCCCAGGUUGAGCCCGGGGAUUUCACAUCCAACUUGCUGAACCACCUACGCGCGCUUUACGCCCAGUAAUUCCGAUUAACGCUUGCACCCUUCGUAUUACCGCGGCUGCUGGCACGAAGUUAGCCGGUGCUUAUUCUGUUGGUAACGUCAAAACAGCAAGGUAUUAACUUACUGCCCUUCCUCCCAACUUAAAGUGCUUUACAAUCCGAAGACCUUCUUCACACACGCGGCAUGGCUGGAUCAGGCUUUCGCCCAUUGUCCAAUAUUCCCCACUGCUGCCUCCCGUAGGAGUCUGGACCGUGUCUCAGUUCCAGUGUGACUGAUCAUCCUCUCAGACCAGUUACGGAUCGUCGCCUUGGUAGGCCUUUACCCCACCAACUAGCUAAUCCGACCUAGGCUCAUCUGAUAGCGUGAGGUCCGAAGAUCCCCCACUUUCUCCCUCAGGACGUAUGCGGUAUUAGCGCCCGUUUCCGGACGUUAUCCCCCACUACCAGGCAGAUUCCUAGGCAUUACUCACCCGUCCGCCGCUGAAUCCAGGAGCAAGCUCCCUUCAUCCGCUCGACUUGCAUGUGUUAGGCCUGCCGCCAGCGUUCAAUCUGAGCCAGGAUCAAACCCUU
RNAcentral lists this ribosomal RNA (899 nucleotides) under uncultured bacterium. Its description in RNAcentral is "partial 16S ribosomal RNA". The record is from RNAcentral.